RNAcentral lists this transfer RNA (74 nucleotides) under Encephalitozoon hellem. RNAcentral's name for it is "tRNA-Ile". It matches the Rfam family "tRNA". From Rfam's summary of the family: Transfer RNA (tRNA) molecules are approximately 80 nucleotides in length. Their secondary structure includes four short double-helical elements and three loops (D, anti-codon, and T loops). Further hydrogen bonds mediate the characteristic L-shaped molecular structure. tRNAs have two regions of fundamental functional importance: the anti-codon, which is responsible for specific mRNA codon recognition, and the 3' end, to which the tRNAs corresponding amino acid is attached (by aminoacyl-tRNA synthetases). tRNAs cope with the degeneracy of the genetic code in two manners: having more than one tRNA (with a specific anti-codon) for a particular amino acid; and 'wobble' base-pairing, i.e. permitting non-standard base-pairing at the 3rd anti-codon position. The record is from RNAcentral. RNAcentral also lists the same sequence under 1 other name. Lineage: Eukaryota; Fungi; Microsporidia; Unikaryonidae.
GCCCCCGUAGCUCAGUCGGUUAGAGCGUGGUACUUAUAAUGCCAAGGCCGCGGGUUCGAGUCCCGCCGGAGGCA